Molecule: transfer RNA, 72 nt
Filed under: Scytalidium sp.
Lineage: Eukaryota; Fungi; Ascomycota; Leotiomycetes
Description: tRNA-Asn
Source: RNAcentral
GAGAUAUAUAAUAGGUUUAUUUAUAUUAAAGUUGUUAACUUAAAUAAGAGGGUUCAAAUCCUUCAUGUCUCU